Xenia sp. Carnegie-2017 is the source of this 335-nucleotide long non-coding RNA. RefSeq lists it as uncharacterized. The record is from RefSeq and is a predicted model, not a curated record. NCBI's taxonomy places the organism in Eukaryota, Metazoa, Cnidaria, Anthozoa, Malacalcyonacea, Xeniidae. The transcript has 2 exons.
AGUGUAAAUCACAACGAUUUAAAGGCUCAAAUUCUGAACAGCAAACGAGAAAUUUUACAUGUUGACAACAACCAAAUAAAAAUAUUAAGCAAAAAUGUUUUCAAUGUUACAAACUUGACAAAAUCAGAUAUAUACACCUGCAACCGUUGCCAAGUGCGCUACAAUGUCAUGGUUCAAUCAGAAACUCCAUCCUAUCAAGUACCUUUAAUCACAAAAGAACCAGAAAAAACAAUAUAUGAUUACAAGGAACGUGUUACAUUGAAUUGCAAGCUUAUUGGCCCUUCAUAUUUAAUAGCAAUUUAUUACAGAAUAUCAUGGAAAAGAAAUGGUAAGAC